AUGGAAUGGAGCUGGAGAGUUCUCUUUUUGGUGGCAGUUACUGCAGGUGUGCACUCCCAUGUUCAACUGACUCAGUCUGGGGCUGAGGCGAGGAAACCUGGCACAUCUGUCAAGCUCUCUUGCAAGGCUUCUGGAUACACUUUCACCAGCAACUAUAUGCACUGGGUGUGGCAGACCUCUGGAAAAGGCCUGGAGUGGAUGGGAAAUAUUUACCCUGGAUAUAGUGAUACAAACUAUGCCCAGAAUUUCCAGAGAAAAGCCACAAUGACAGCAGACACAUCCUCUAAAACAGCCUACAUGCAGCUGAGCAGUCUUAGUUUUGAGGACAUGGCUGUGUAUUACUGUGCAAAAGCUACAAUGAUUACAACCUGA
Molecule: non-coding RNA, 372 nt
Organism: Erinaceus europaeus (western European hedgehog)
Lineage: Eukaryota; Metazoa; Chordata; Mammalia; Eulipotyphla; Erinaceidae
Source: the annotation of a RefSeq genome assembly